Non-coding RNA from Saccoglossus kowalevskii, 1839 nucleotides. NCBI's taxonomy places the organism in Eukaryota, Metazoa, Hemichordata, Enteropneusta, Harrimaniidae. The record is from RefSeq and is a predicted model, not a curated record.
AUGCAGUGUUUUGAUUUUGUUGGCAAAGGCGUUAGUGAUCUGCUUCAGGCCGAAAUCUCAGUUGGUGAUAGAAGACCGGAAGUUGAUGUUAUAUCUAUAGAAACAAGAAACAGGGUCAAGCUAUCGAAACUGAGAACAAAAUCCAACCGCGUAAUGGUUUUGAUUGCAUCAUCACAAAGCUGACCUAUCAUGAGGACCAUCAUUGAAGGUGGUCCUCUUUUAAAAAUGUUUAAGCGCUACCACGAUAGGGUGGACUUUGUGUUCAUCUAUCUGCUGGAGGCACAUCCUAAAGAUGGCUGGAGCUUUGGUGACAAAUUCUCUGCCGUCAAACAACAUCAGACGUUAGAAGAUAGGAUAGAGGCAGCAAGAAUGUUGGUUGAUUUAAAUACAGAACUCUUAUCAACCGAUCACAAAGCCAAAAACAAAGUCCGUGUACUUGUUGACAACAUGGAAAAUAGUUUUGCGAUGAGUUACGCCGCCUGGCCUGAUAGAAUAAUCAUCGCUGAAGGCGAAACCGUGUCCUUUGUCAGUGAUCACGUGACCCAAGUGAUGCAAAAUCCACAGAAUAUUAUGACAAUAGCAGCUAAUGCAUGGUUGGAGCAGUAUUUCAGUAAAAACGAGUUGUAAAAUGUCUAAGCAGAAAUGUUAUAAUUUAUAAAUAAUUCUUGGAUGUAUGUGUUUCUUGUUUUGAAUAUCUCAAAAAAAAAAUAUUAAUUGCUGAAAAAGUCUUGAAAUAGAAGUUUGACUGUAUUAGUGUAAAUUCUGUCUAAGGUAAAACUUUUAAUGAGUACCUUCUUCAAAUGUAGUUGUUUUAUUUGCUUUAAUUUCGCCAACAAAAUUUGUUCUUGAUUGUCUCUGUGUCUUGUAUACCAAUAUGUAUACCGGUAUAUCAAAUGUUUAUAAAAGUAUUUGUAAUACUCUAUCAUUUGAUUGGCUGUCACAAACCAUGUCUUUGGCCAAUCAGAACAAAGAAAAUGUUUGUCAGAAUAUGGUUUAAUCCACUCGCAACAUCAAAAUACAUUCAGAACUUUUUUUUUAUUUUUUAAUAAUUCUUUUUUUUAGAAAACUUAACCAAUCUUUAACAAUGUUCUUUAUUUCUAAAAAAAAUUUCUGUCGAAGUAUGUGUUCUAUAAGGGCCAGUCUUGAUAAGUCUAAUCUUAUAGCUAACUCGCAGAUUAAAAAUCAACAGAGAUUAAAAAGCAGAUUAAGAUAGAAGCCUAUUGGUCGAUAUUUGAUAUGGGUCCCAUACUAUGGGUCAAAUGCAUUGUUUAUUUACACAAGAUAAAAUGAAAUGCAUUCAUUCAUGAUUUCCAUCACCCUUUAAAAUUUCUACAAAAGAACAAGUGUUGGCUGUUAUGUUCAUUUGUAGAAAUUUCCUUCUGAACAGAAAGUACUGUUUGAAAAUUGAAAACUGAACUGAAAUUUGGAAAUGUGUGAAAUUUAUUGUUAUCAUUCAAACCCAUACUGAGCAAUGAGGCAUUAUAUUAUGCAAGGAAAAUUCUCUUGAAAAUAAAUACAUCUCAUUGGAAACUUGCUUGUCGUCAGCGGUUUCAAAUUUUACAUGUUUUGUAUGUCACUAUGAGACCAAUAUCGAAGAAGACUUUUAAAAGACAGUUUGCUGAAAAAUGUAUAAUAAUAUAAGAAUUGAUAUCAAUGAGAAUAUAUGAAGUUAUUAAAGAAAAAAAGAAAAAACUUGUUCUAGAAACCAGAGUAAAAACAAGGAGAAAUUGAAAAUAAUGCCACUUUCUCAAAAAAAAUACCCAUGUUACCCCAUAUUAUGUUUGUAUGCAGGUAGUAUGAUAUUAUUCAAUCUAUAAAGAAUUUAGAUUUCCAUUUAAA